RNA transcript from Lycium barbarum (goji berry), 2952 nucleotides. RefSeq lists it as uncharacterized. The record is from RefSeq and is a predicted model, not a curated record. The transcript has 4 exons. NCBI's taxonomy places the organism in Eukaryota, Viridiplantae, Streptophyta, Magnoliopsida, Solanales, Solanaceae.
AUUCGUCACCAUAAAUUCAAAGCUCACGGAAAAUACCAAUCGAGAAUUAAAGAGAGAGAAUCAAAGAAUAAAUAAAUAAAAAUAUUAUCAAAAUAUUAACCUCAAUUCAGGCAAAAGAGUCAGAUUCCAAAACAUUGUUUGUUCUUCGUUCAAUUAGGUUCCGAUUGUUCUAUUCACAAAUCUAGAAAAAUCUGGUAUUUGGUGGUUUUGUUUUGGAGUAAUGAACGAGCAAGGGAAAAAAAUGAUGAAUCAACAACAACAAAGGAUGAGUAUGAGUCAACAAAACCAAAUGAUAAGUAUGAGUCAACAACCACCUCAGAUCUUGAAUCCACAGCUUCAACAGCAACAACAGCAGCUUGCUCCACAGAUGAUGAAUCGGAGCUACCGGAUGUGGCCGCAGCCGCCUUUGCCUCCUCCGCCUCAAAACACUAACCCUAAUUUGAAGCAAUUUGUUACUGGAAAGCAGCAUCCGAAACCCUUAGGUCCUCGAAACAAUUGGAAGGGUAAAAAGGUAAAUAAGAGGAAUGAGAUUGGAACUAGUGGUAGUAGUACUACUGUUGGAGGAUAUAAGCCGCCUACGUUAAACGAUUUGCAACAGCAAAACAGAUUAAAGGCUCGGAGGUUUUUCCCUAAGAAGAAAUAUUAUCAUCAUAAUAAUAAUAAUAAUAACAGGACUGCACCCUAUGCGCCUCGGAACACGUCUUCGUAUAUCAUUAGGGCGAAAAAGAGUGGUGGGAUUGCGUCAUUGGUGUCGCCGGGCCCUGUUACUCCGUCUGUGCUGCCUACGCCAAUGUUUUCUCCGUCAAGGGAAGUGUUAGUAGAUAUGGCUAAAGAGGAGUGGGGGGUUGAUGGGUAUGGAUCGAUGAAUGGGUUGAUUAGACUGAGGUCGCCGGGAGGAAAUGAGGAUGAGGAAGAAGAGGAUGGAGGAUCGAGUGAGAGUGACGUGGAGGAACACGUGGAGGUGGAGAGGCGGUUGGAUCAUGAUUUGAGUAGGUUUGAGAUGAUUUACCCAAAUUAUAGUAGCGGGAUGGAAUAUAACAAUGUGUUGGGUAACCGUGUGGAUGAUCAGGAUACACAUAUUGCUCAAUUGGAGGAGGAGAACUUGAUUUUGAAGGAUAGAUUGUUCUUGAUGGAGAGGGAGUUGGGUGAUUUGAGGAGGAGGUUGCAUGGUCUCGAGAGGCGGGGUCAUGGUUAUGAUGAGAUGAAUGAGGAGGUAGUGGAGAAUGAGUCUGAGAGCGAGAGUGAGAGUCAUGGGGACGGUCAUUCUUUGGAGGAUAACAACGUUGAGCUCGAAGGUGUUGGGAAUGUAAGAGGAAAGGAAGAGAAUAGGAUUGAGGAUGAUGCAGAGUUUGUAGAAAAUGAAGAGAUAGUUGGAAAAGAAGGUGAACAGGUUAAUGCUAGUGGUAUUGAUGAAGCUGUUGAAAAGCAAUCAAAUGAAGUCAGAAAAGAAGAUGAAGAAGUUGAUGGAAAUGCUAUGGAUGAAGUCCUUAAAAAGGAAAUCGUUGCUGAUGUUGGAAGCAAGAGUGAACUGAACGACGAUGCAGAUGGGAAAACUGGGAAUGAGGUUCAGUUUACUGAAUUGAACAAGAACACCGAAAACAGGGUUCAGGCAUCAGAUAAUGCAAGUGUUGAAGAUGUUACUAUGGAGUAGACUUCUAGAGUGGACGCUGAUGCGAUUUCCAAGACAAAGAAAGAGGAUGAAGUGCCAGGACAUGAAUGAUCAGGGAAGAGCAUUUGCAAUGGUAACUUGUCUAAGUUUCCCUCGUCAAUCAAACAAAUGGAUGAUUCGACUACAGGGCAUAAUUUGGUAUACCUCAGCUCUCUAAACUGUAAACCUUCAACCAGAUUUUAUUAAAUAGUACCAUAUAAUAGAGCAUCCGGGAAUGUUAAUGCGUAAGUUGGAAUUCUUGGUUAUCAACUCUAGCUGGAGGUUAGGUGUUACUGUUUAUUCUUUCUUUUUUCUUUUUUCUUUUUUCUUUUAAAUCUUUUUGGGAUAUGCACGAAUCUGCUAUUAAUAUUCAGUGGUAUUACUCUUUUUAAAAGAAAAUGACCAUUUGCUUGCUAGCAAAUAAGUUCUUUACUGUUUGUUUCAUCUAUAUAGUUGACCACUGACUUCUGCAGCUGAAAGAGACGGAAGAUUUGAGAACUUCCACGCUCUGGUGCGUUCUUGCAUCAAUGUGUGGUGAUGGCUUAUUCUUAUUAGCCUCCAAUUAAUGUCUGGUUCUCUUUGUACAUCGCCAACACUACCCAACCAGUCAGCGGUGUGGUACAAAGGUUUUGAUAUAGUUCAGCUUUAAUUAGAUCUCCUUGUCUCCUCGUGACUGUCAAUAUUAUUUGUUUCUAAAUGUUGCAACCACUUUCACUUGUUGGGAUAGUAUCACCUUUCAUGAUUUCGUUCCUCCAUAAGUAUAACUGUUAGCUGCUGUGAUUAUCAUGAGGUGAGCAGGAUGCUUCCUUAUUAUUCCUCCAUUUAUUUUCAUCUAUAUAUAGGAUCAGUUGGUUGCCCGUCAACCCCUGACAAGCGCCAACAAGUACGCUCCUCUUUGCUGACGCGAAUGCCUAAUCUCUUGAUUGGGACCAACCCCUCAUUGAGAUGUUUCUUUAUUCUUUAGUUUCUCUUGGCUCGUUCUUUCGUUUGAGUAAUAAAGAUUAACUCUGUGAUCUAUUAUGUUUUAUCUAAUGGCAGUAGAGGUGAUGCCCUAUUGCUGGUGACAGAAAAGCAGGGGCGGUGGUGAUGUUAUUUGUCCUCUGCUGCAUUUGUUGAGUUUGCUACAGAACAUGCAUGUCACUAUAAUUGUGAAGAUCUAACACUGUUUAGUGUACAGUAUGUAUUGAUGCUGCUAAGUUGUUUAGUGGUGUCAUUUUUUUUAUUUGCGUUUGUUGCAGUAGGAUAUUUGGUUCAUUUUAUGAUUCAUUUCUUUUCAGGUGCUUCAUCUGCUUUAAUCCUUGUUA